Molecule: unclassified non-coding RNA, 351 nt
Filed under: soil metagenome
Description: partial contains 5.8S ribosomal RNA, internal transcribed spacer 2, and large subunit ribosomal RNA
Rfam family: 5.8S ribosomal RNA (bases 1-120)
Source: RNAcentral
GAUGAAGAACGCAGCGAAAUGCGAUAAGUAAUGUGAAUUGCAGAAUUCAGUGAAUCAUCGAAUCUUUGAACGCACAUUGCGCCCGGCAGUACUCUGCCGGGCAUGCCUGUCCGAGCGUCAUUUCAACCCUCGAGCCCCUCCGGGGGGUCGGCGUUGGGGAUCGGCCCCUCACCGGGCCGCCCCCGAAAUACAGUGGCGGUCUCGCCGCAGCCUCUCCUGCGCAGUAGUUUGCACACUCGCACCGGGAGCGCGGCGCGGCCACAGCCGUAAAACACCCCAAGCAUUCUGAAAUGUUGACCUCGGAUCAGGUAGGAAUACCCGCUGAACUUAAGCAUAUCAAUAAGCGGAGGA